RNAcentral lists this ribosomal RNA (693 nucleotides) under uncultured bacterium. RNAcentral describes it as "bacterial SSU rRNA". It matches the Rfam family "Bacterial small subunit ribosomal RNA", at positions 140 to 851 of the family's 1533-position model. The record is from RNAcentral.
GGGAUAACAGUUGGAAACGGCUGCUAAUACCGCAUAAGCGCACGGCAUCGCAUGAUGCAGUGUGAAAAACUCCGGUGGUAUAAGAUGGACCCGCGUUGGAUUAGCUAGUUGGUGAGGUAACGGCCCACCAAGGCGACGAUCCAUAGCCGACCUGAGAGGGUGACCGGCCACAUUGGGACUGAGACACGGCCCAAACUCCUACGGGAGGCAGCAGUGGGGAAUAUUGCACAAUGGGCGAAAGCCUGAUGCAGCGACGCCGCGUGAGCGAAGAAGUAUUUCGGUAUGUAAAGCUCUAUCAGCAGGGAAGAUAAUGACGGUACCUGACUAAGAAGCACCGGCUAAAUACGUGCCAGCAGCCGCGGUAAUACGUAUGGUGCAAGCGUUAUCCGGAUUUACUGGGUGUAAAGGGAGCGCAGGCGGUGCGGCAAGUCUGAUGUGAAAGCCCGGGGCUCAACCCCGGUACUGCAUUGGAAACUGUCGUACUAGAGUGUCGGAGGGGUAAGCGGAAUUCCUAGUGUAGCGGUGAAAUGCGUAGAUAUUAGGAGGAACACCAGUGGCGAAGGCGGCUUACUGGACGAUAACUGACGCUGAGGCUCGAAAGCGUGGAGAGCAAACAGGAUUAGAUACCCUGGUAGUCCACGCCGUAAACGAUGAAUAGUAGGUGUUGGGAAGCAUUGCUUCUCGGUGCCGCCA